This 1195-nucleotide ribosomal RNA is filed under the name uncultured fungus. RNAcentral describes it as "eukaryotic LSU rRNA". The stretch from base 546 to 1195 matches the Rfam family "Eukaryotic large subunit ribosomal RNA", at positions 1 to 667 of the family's 3401-position model. The record is from RNAcentral. Lineage: Eukaryota; Fungi.
CUUGGUCAUUUAGAGGAAGUAAAAGUCGUAACAAGGUUUCCGUAGGUGAACCUGCGGAAGGAUCAUUAAUGAGAACUAAGGGUAGUAGUCUCGGCUACUACUCUGAACACUCCACCCUUUGUUUAUAUUACCUUUGUUGCUUUAGCAGGCCCGCUCUCGAGCCGCCGGCACCUGCUGGCCAGUGCCUGCUAAAGAACCUAAAACUCUUGUUAAUAAUAUUGUCUGAGUACUAUAUAAUAGUUAAAACUUUCAACAACGGAUCUCUUGGUUCUGGCAUCGAUGAAGAACGCAGCGAAAUGCGAUAAGUAAUGUGAAUUGCAGAAUUCAGUGAAUCAUCGAAUCUUUGAACGCACAUUGCGCCCCUUGGUAUUCCGAGGGGCAUGCCUGUUCGAGCGUCAUUUUGACCAACUCCUAUUCAUAUAGGGUCUUGGACUUCGCCUCUGGGCGGGUCUCAAAAUCAGUGGCGGUGCUGUUAGGCUCUACGCGUAGUAAUACUCCUCGCGACAGAAAGUAACAGUUGCUAGCCUAAUCCCAACUUUCUAGGUUGACCUCGGAUCAGGUAGGGAUACCCGCUGAACUUAAGCAUAUCAAUAAGCGGAGGAAAAGAAACCAACAGGGAUUACCUCAGUAACGGCGAGUGAAGCGGUAACAGCUCAAAUUUGAAAUCUGGCUCUUUCAGGGUCCGAGUUGUAAUUUGUAGAAGAUGCUUUGGGUGUGGCUCCGGUCUAAGUUCCUUGGAACAGGACGUCAUAGAGGGUGAGAAUCCCGUAUGUGACUGGCUGCCUUCGCCUAUGUAAAGCUCUUUCGACGAGUCGAGUUGUUUGGGAAUGCAGCUCUAAAUGGGAGGUAUAUUUCUUCUAAAGCUAAAUAUUGGCCAGAGACCGAUAGCGCACAAGUAGAGUGAUCGAAAGAUGAAAAGCACUUUGGAAAGAGAGUUAAACAGUACGUGAAAUUGUUGAAAGGGAAGCGCUUGCAACCAGACUUGUCUGGUGCUGAUCAUCCUGGGUUCUCCCUGGUGCACUCAGUACUAUGCAGGCCAGCAUCGGUUUUGGUGGUGGGAUAAAGGCCUUGGGAAUGUGACUCUUUCGGGAGUGUUAUAGCCCUCGGUGCAAUGCCGCCUACCGGGACCGAGGACCGCGCUUCGGCUAGGAUGCUGGCGUAAUGGUUGUAAGCGACCCGUCUUGAAACACGGACC